AACAAACGCUGGCGGCGUGCCUAACACAUGCAAGUCGGACGAGAAAGUUCGCUUCGGCGAAUGAGUAAAGUGGCGCACGGGUGAGUAACGCGUGGAUAAUCUGCCCUUCAGUUGGGAAUAACUCACCGAAAGGUGGGAUAAUACCGAAUAACGCUGCAUGGCCUCGGCUGUGCAGCCAAAGAUGGCCUCUGCUUGCAAGCUAUCGCUGAAGGAUGAGUCCGCGUACCAUUAGCUAGUUGGUAGGGUAAUGGCCUACCAAGGCUACGAUGGUUAGCUGGUCUGAGAGGAUGAUCAGCCACACUGGAACUGAGAUACGGUCCAGACUCCUACGGGAGCUG
Molecule: ribosomal RNA, 338 nt
Filed under: uncultured Pseudomonadota bacterium
Lineage: Bacteria; Pseudomonadati; Pseudomonadota
Description: bacterial SSU rRNA
Rfam family: Bacterial small subunit ribosomal RNA
Source: RNAcentral